Long non-coding RNA from Mauremys mutica (yellowpond turtle), 3501 nucleotides. RefSeq lists it as uncharacterized. The record is from RefSeq and is a predicted model, not a curated record. The transcript has 4 exons. NCBI's taxonomy places the organism in Eukaryota, Metazoa, Chordata, Testudines, Geoemydidae.
UCUCUAAAAAUACAGGCCCAUAUUUGGGGAGCUAAAGUCAGACCGGCACUGGCUCCGUAUCCCAGCAACAGGGACUUAUACUGGAGUAGGCCCGUUAUGUCGCAUAGUCCUAAAAUGCAGUCAAGAAUCGCCCUUUGGCCCGUAACCGCUGGAGCUGAAUAGAGUGGAAUAACUGGAAUGGAAAAUCAACCAAGAUACAAAGUUAAGGCAGCAGGACAGGAGCCACUGACAAGGGACAGGGGGCAGGCCCCUGUGGCGAGGUCACACCGUUAUUCCGGGCCAGGGAGUGCUGGAAGUGCUGCUGGUAGAAGUCUUCUUCCCCCGGAUCCAUCAGCAGGGAAACAGGACCAUUGCGAGCAGUUCCAGCUGCAGUGUGGCCAGAGGUUUAUUCUGCUGCCCUCCGUCAGAGAUCACAGCCAUCUGCAGCCUAGAAAGAGGUCCUCAGGAAACAGACCUGAGACAUUUAAAAACAAGCCCUUCAAAGUAGCACGACUCCCCCUGGAAAACUGGAUCCCUCCACCCUGCGCGUGCAGACGUUGCUAGCAGAGCGCCGACUCGGCUGUGUCUUCACUGGCUGUCAUCUGAGCUCAAUAACCGCUGCUCCUGCUGCUGGCGGCUGGAAGUGUCCCCUUUGGACGGAUGAUGGUGGAGAAGUCUCUGUGCAGUCAGAAAAGCCACAGAGAAGUGAGUUGCCCAAGAUCACAGUGAGACAGUGUCAGAGCCAGAAGAGAACCCGAGUCCUGACUCCUGCUCCAGCACUGUAGCCACUAGAGUACAUUGCUGCUCAGAAUAAAAUCUGGGAGGUCUCACUCCAGCAGCCCGUCUAGAACUCAGAGUCCUGAUGCUCUCUGAGGGGCAGAGCCAGGCAUGCGCAUCUCUUCUCAGAGCUGGAACAGAACCCAGGAGUCCUGGUUCCUGGCCCCCUUUCCUCUUCCCAAGAGCUGACACUCCCACCCCACGACAGUUACGGUGGAAGCCCAACCAAAAUAAAUAAGACAAAAGCACCAGAGUAAUUGGGCUGGGGAAGGAGGGGUGAAAUCCAGACUCCGGACCCUACAGGAACAUCUGUCCAUCUCCUCAGGGAAGGGAUGAGGGAGGAAACAUCGACAGCCUAAAGGCAGAUUGAAAGCCAAGCGAUCCCAAGGGGGCAGGAGAAGGACAACGUCUUUCCCUCCAAAGGAAGCUUCUGUCCUGCUUUCCGCCCCAAGCGAAGAUUGGGGUUUCCAGGUGACACACAGCGAGGUUCCCAGGGCAAUGCCGGCGGGUAGGGGAGGAGUCUGCUACAGGGGAUGUCCAGUUUGAUCCAGGCCUUCGCGCUUCACAGCUCAUCGUGGGGGAUGUUCAGGGCAUGGUCGCACAGAUCUACGCAUACAAGCACAAGCCGUUAGAACAUGGGACUUACCCGACUGGAGCAGAGCUGAGGUCCAACCAAUCCAGUGUCCAGCACCAGCUGCUCCAGAGAAAGGAGGCAGAUCAUCCGUCCUAGAGGUGGAGGGCACAGGAGACCAUGGGACUCUGCCAUUUACUGGAGCACACAGCAGUCAAGGGGCCGGCUGGACGUGCAGCCCAAGGACAAGGCGGCUGCUCACGUGAGGACUGAAAGCUCUGGCUACCAGCCAGAGAACAGGGACUGGCUGGCACAGCAGUGCCCUGCGGGAAGAAGGGGGGGAAGCACUUCACUGCCCCCCACCCCGACCAUUCACACUUGAGUUAGUGGCUGUUUGAAGAGAGCUGUCGAAGUCGGCCUUUGACCCAGCCAGCGCAGAGGGCAGGAGCUCUCUGCUGAAGCCUGACACGUUGCUGUGGCAGGCAGCGCUAUCAGGUGUGCAGGGCCAGGGAGAUACGGGGACGGAGGUGUAACGCCAGGGUCCCUUUGCGACAGCCUGGACAAGAACGAACAAAGGUCAGGCGGCACCCAGGGCCGCCAUCCAAAAACAGCUUAGCGGGAUGGGGAAAUCAGUCUCUGAACAGCACCCAGCAGCUGGCUGCUCCAAUCCCGUCACUGCUCUUGGCAGCCAGUGAGAAUCCCCGACACAAAUGAGGUUGGGCUGCUUGUGGGAGGAGCCGCUUGGCCCAAGCUGGAGUCUCCCCCAAAAGCUGCAGGCGGUUAGAAAAGGCAGCGGAAAUACAUCUUCUGACUUGCAGCCCUCGGUAGGAGCAGCGAGCCCACGGAGCCGGGACGCUCCUGCAGAGCACUCGCACCAGAUCCCAGCAGGUCUCUGGAGAGGGUUUGACACCCCAAGGGCGAGGAGAGGCCAGGGGAUGGAAGGGCAAGUUACUGACAAGUGCGUAAGCCCGGGGAAGUUAGACUCAGAUCCCAUCAGUGGGCCAGGCACAGCCUACGUGAAACAGCUGCAGGACAGAGAGUGACCCAGCAGCUGCAGGAUAGGAGAGCCAGGAGCAGCGUCCGGUGGGCAGGGCACCGCGCUGGGAAUCAGGAGACCUCGGCUCUAUUCCCAGCCCUGCCGCUGACCUGCUGGGGGACCCUGGGCACGUCAACCCAACUCUGCCUCAGGUUCUUCAUCUGUAAAAUGGGGCGAAUGGCCCCGGCUGUCCUUUGUGCAGGGCUCGGAGGUUACGCACGAAGUGCGCUGGGUAACAGCUAAGUAUCAUUAGCUCCUUUCUGACUUUCCUUCUGGUUUAUGAAUAGUUUUUUGUAAUGGCGUCUCUCUAGCGCUCAGCAGAGUACCUGGGGAGUUAGCCAGCGUUCUGCGACAGGGAGGUGUUACAGAUGGGGAAACCGAGGCACAGAGUGGGGAAGUGACUCGACCAAGGUCUAGAGCAGAGGCAGGAAUUGGACCCACGUCUCCCGAGUCCCAGCCCAGCCCCUCGCCCAGGUGAGCAAGCCCCACUCCGCCCCACUGCUUUCAGCAGUCAGCACAGCUCAGCGGCACGCUUGUUGCUUUGGCUGUUUAAUGAACUCACUGAUUCCAAGAACCAGCAUAAAAUGGGAGGCCGUCCAAAUUACAAAAACAUGCAUAAGGGAGGUGCCUUAAAUCGACAUCUUGGGGAGAAAGAACUGGCGAAGGAAGGAGCGGUUGUGGGAAAGGUGGUGCGGAUGAGUCCAACACCCAGCUGCCUCCCCAGGCCUCAGAGGUGGGUGACUCCACGUCUCAGUGAAACUUAUGGACCAUGAUGCAGAGGGAUCACUUUCCCCAUCACUGGAAGGCAGUUUCCUCUGGGCUGCAGCGCAGCAGUCAGCCUGUACCAGCGAUGCUGCAGCACUGGUGCAUGAUGGGAAGUGGGGAAUAACAUUGAUUGAGUACAGGGGACCAGCCGUGGUAUCCUGGCUAAAUUCUUCGCCGUCCCUGCACCCUGCCAGUGGCUUCCGCCCUGUUCAAGGGACCAUCUCGCUCCUAGAGUGGUGGCUGCUGACUGGACGUGGCCUCCAGGCAGCCACCUAGAGGCGAAUGAAAGCCUCCAAGCUCCGUUUGUUUAAAACCAACAAAAGGAAGUAUUUCUUCACCCAACGCACAGUCAACUUGUGGAACUCCUUGCCAG